Molecule: microRNA, 22 nt
Filed under: Mus musculus (house mouse)
Lineage: Eukaryota; Metazoa; Chordata; Mammalia; Rodentia; Muridae
Description: mmu-miR-6962-3p
Source: miRBase by way of RNAcentral
UAUCUGCCCUUCCCUGUCCUAU